Molecule: ribosomal RNA, 253 nt
Filed under: uncultured Lachnospiraceae bacterium
Lineage: Bacteria; Bacillati; Bacillota; Clostridia; Lachnospirales; Lachnospiraceae
Description: partial 16S ribosomal RNA
Rfam family: Bacterial small subunit ribosomal RNA
Source: RNAcentral
UACGUAGGGGGCAAGCGUUAUCCGGAUUUACUGGGUGUAAAGGGAGCGCAGACGGCAGUGCAAGUCUGAUGUGAAAGCCCGGGGCUCAACCCCGGAACUGCAUUGGAAACUGUACAGCUCGAGUGUCGGAGAGGUAAGCGGAAUUCCUAGUGUAGCGGUGAAAUGCGUAGAUAUUAGGAGGAACACCGGUGGCGAAGGCGGCUUACUGGACGAUAACUGACGUUGAGGCUCGAAAGCGUGGGGAGCAAACAGG